RNAcentral lists this ribosomal RNA (311 nucleotides) under uncultured bacterium. Its description in RNAcentral is "bacterial SSU rRNA". It matches the Rfam family "Bacterial small subunit ribosomal RNA", at positions 29 to 369 of the family's 1533-position model. The record is from RNAcentral.
AACGAACGCUGGCGGCAUGCCUAACACAUGCAAGUCGAACGAGACCUUCGGGUCUAGUGGCGCACGGGUGCGUAACGCGUGGGAACCUGCCUUUAGGUUCGGAAUAACUCAGAGAAAUUUGAGCUAAUACCGGAUAAUGUCUUCGGACCAAAGAUUUAUCGCCUUUAGAUGGGCCCGCGUUGGAUUAGCUAGUUGGUGGGGUAAAGGCCUACCAAGGCGACGAUCCAUAGCUGGUCUGAGAGGAUGAUCAGCCACACUGGGACUGAGACACGGCCCAGACUCCUACGGAGGCAGCAGUGGGAAUAUUGGAC